RNAcentral lists this unclassified non-coding RNA (3593 nucleotides) under Hevea brasiliensis (rubber tree). The stretch from base 1147 to 1241 matches the Rfam family "Small nucleolar RNA Z43". Lineage: Eukaryota; Viridiplantae; Streptophyta; Magnoliopsida; Malpighiales; Euphorbiaceae. The record is from RNAcentral.
GGAAGCCUCCUCGCCUCUCUUUAUAAGCAGCCGCGAAAAGAUCAGAGCCCAAUUUUAAACCUCAAUUCAUUUUCUCUUCUGCUGUGGUUCUCGUCUUUGAUUCUUAGGUUUGUUCCAUAAUGUUGUGUGUUCUUCGCUGAGAGGAUGAAUGAGGGACGGUGACGAUUUCAGCAUGGAAAGGUCUCGUUCGUCGUAAUUGGCUCUAAAAGGCCUUGCCGAACAUCCUGCUAUAUCACCACCCAUAUUCCGAGUCCCCCUUCUUCAAUCUCAAUUAAUUUUUAAAUUUUUUUAGCGUUUUUUUCUUAAUAUAACGGUGAAUCGGCCGAUGAUCGAACAACAUUUGAAGACAAGCAUAUGUCUGAAAUUAUCUAUGUUGAUCAAUCUAAUCUUCUAUAUGAGGCCCAGUUUAUUUAUUUAUUUAUUGCACUGUACUGACAAGUAUUUGUUUUUCUUCGUAGCUUGUCCAGUGAUGAAAGAAUUGGUAUAUUUUGUCACAUAUGAUAAAUCUGUGAUUGCAUACAUACCACCACUGCCUUCCUUCUGAGGCCUUGUUAAUCACUCGAGUUUCAUUGCUCGUUUGUUGGUUUAUGUUUUUAGAUUAAUUCCUUUUUGAAAUAGUAUGAAAUGGGUCAUAUGAUGAUCGUAAGCAUAGUUCAACUGAUAAUCUCUGUGAUUAUGAAAACUUUUUGUCUUUCGCUCCUAUCUGAUGACCCAUUUAUAAUGAUUGUACAAUUUUUCAAUUUGGCUGUUUUAAUUUUAUAAAUUUUGUGGCUUUUUGAAUUUCCUAACCAUUUAUUUUUCUUGGCUUAUUUACAUGUUUGUUUACCUGGUAAGUUGAAUGUAAGUGCAAUUUCUUAUUAUUUCAUCUUCAUUUGGUUUUAUGUAUUGGCCUGUGAUUUAAAUAGUUUAUAUAGACAAGCAUAUGCCUGAAUUAUUAGGUGUUGACAAUCCAAAUUGGAUGUAUCUAUGAGGCCUAAAGAUAUUUGAUUCUUUAUAUCUGAAUCCUUGCAAUGGAUCAUUGUUAAAUAUUGUUUUAGUGGGAAGUGUUGUCUAUACUUCAUUGCCAGUUUAUGAUAUUAGAUACAUGAUAUGGUUUUCUUUGUACUAGCAUCAUCAUAGAUAUAUGUAAAGUUUGUCAACUUGGGGAGGCAGUGACGAAUUCUAUCAAUGGUCUCGUUCGGUGUAAUGGCAUGUUUUCCUUGCUGACCAUCCUGAUAUAUCACCGCCCAUAUUCUGAGUCCUAACCCAUGUUCCGAGUCCUAUCGAUAAAUUGGCCUAAAUUAUGUUCAUAUGAAUCCUUUAGCAACCCUGUGAUUUUAUUAUAAUGUGAAAAUUUGAUACAAUAUUCUUUGAUUAGGUUUGCUUGGCUUUGGAAGUGAUUGCUGGAUGGUUUGUUCUCAUUUGUGCUGCAGAGAUAACAUUAUUGUCAAAUUUUUUCAUGAUUUUAACAUAAUACAAUUAAAUUAGCUGAAUCGAAGAUGGGAUUUGUCUGGAUGUGGUAACUUGUUUGAAGAAUGUUGUAGUUGUAUAGAUUUUUCUGUUAUUAGGCCGGAUCUGUAUAGUGCUUUUAGAGUAAAACCUUGCUCUAGGCAGCCUAGGCCACCGAAUUCCCAUGAUUGCCCCGUCAAUUAUCAAUGGUAGUAGACAAUUACGUGUUGCCAGCUAACCAUCGGUACCACCGCGACAGUCACUUGCCUAUUGUUAUCAUCACCUCUAUCGUCGCAAUUGCACUUCUUUAUUAUUAUUAAUCUAGAUAAAUUAAAUAUUAAAAUGAAAAUUAUCAUUAUAUUAGAUGUUACAUUAUUUAUUUUAUUAUAUAUCUUCCUAUUCCCCCUAAGAUCAGAGUGUUUAUAUGGAGGGUAGUGCUGAAUUCCAUCUCAGUCAAGGAGAACCAAGUAAAGAAAAGAGUGCAGGCGAGUCCUAUUUGCCUAAUAUGUAAUUUGGAGUCUGAAUCAGAGGAACUGCCCUGGUGUGGUGCCAGCAAGCACGUGCAACCUGGUUCCUAAGCCCGGGUGGAUUUCAUCUGUGGUUAUGGAGGUUCUGAAUGCGAAAAUGGAUCAAGGGAUAUUGAUCUCUGCAGCUUUCACAUGCUGGUUUAUUUUGGAAUGCUUGGAAUAAAGCCUUAUUUGAGCAUCUUAAUACUAAUCUGCUUCUCACAGCUCGGCAGAUAUCUGUUGAAAUAUCAGAUACGCACUUGACCAGUUUUGUGCAGCAAUCUCCCCGGAGGAAUUCUGUAGACAAUAACGGAAUCAAUUCAACUAGGUUUGGCAUCCCCCUCCUAUUAAUACUUUGAAAUUUAGUAGUCAUGUUGCCUGGAAGGAAGGUGAGAGUAAUGCAGCCAUAGCAGGUGUGGUUAGGAAUCAUGUGGGGAAAGUUAUAGAUGGUGCAGCAAGAUUAGUUCAGUGUUCUACCCCCUCUAGCAUGUGAGGCGAUAGGCAAUUCAGUUGGCGUUUACCAUGGGAGCCUACUCCAUCAUCCUUAAUCGGUCCUAGAGGUUCUUAUCUCAGCCCUUGAGAGUAUUCAGAGGGAUGAUUGUUGGGAAAUUCAAGCUUCGGUCCAAGCUGUUAGAAGUCUAGCAGUUCCUGCUAAAGUAGCAGCUCACAACUUAGCUGAGUUGUGUUUUAAUCACCGUUUGCCUUGUAAUUGAUUAGUGGCGAGUCCUAGCUCCUUUGAGGCCAUCUGUAGGGCCAUGUAAUGCAUUUGCAAUUAAAAAAAUGUAUAAUUAAUGUUAUUAUGUUACAUUAUAUUCUACUGAACAUAGUUUAAAAUUAGAGUGAACGAUAACCUCCAAAUGAAAGUAAUGGACUUCUGGGUAUUCGUGAUUAUAGAAUACAUCCAGUGCACCAAAAAUGGCGUUGAAAUUUCAACUCUUAAGUUGGAGACCGCUCUGUAGAAAUAACUUUUUUAACUUUGUUUGCAUUCCCUUCUCCGUUGUAUCCCACGAAACCGUCUCUAUUAGAGGAAACGUUUCUUUCGUACACCAAGCAAAUGAAACAUUAUUGCUUCUACGAAAUUCCAGUGAAGAUGAUGCACGACAACUCGGACUCGGACCAGGGGAGCUUGGACCUGUUAUAACGCCCCAUGUGCUACGUACAGAGCCUGUCUGUACAUAUUUGUAUUUUGGGCAAGGCUCAGGCUUUACAGGAGCACCAAACAAUUUGCGAACUGCGAAUUGUUCAGUUAAGAUGAGCGUGUACAACCCAGCUGCUUCUUUUGGCAUUCAUGUUGGUUCAGUUCCAGUCAAUUUUUUGUACUCAAGAUUAUAGUUGCUACAGGUGUAAGAUCAAGAUCUUGGAAUUGUUAAUGAACAAUAAUUUUGCAGCAUAUAUAGAGGAGAUUUUGGUGGUUAAUGGGCUGUUAGUUGAAUUUGCAUACUUGUUCUUGCAGUUGAAGAGAAAUUUUCAAUCGAGAAAGAGCCACCGCAAUGUGUAUGUGAAUCUGGUAGGAACAAAAGUUCGCCUCUAUGGCGCAGGGGCAAGCUAGCUAUCAUAACAAUGGCAGAGUUUCAUUGGCAAUGAUCAUGUUGCUUGUGUUUUUGUAAUACCCUUUCCAGCUCAUUGUAUAGUAUUGUCCUCUUUGACUCACUAGAUCUC